This 253-nucleotide non-coding RNA is filed under the name uncultured Bacteroidaceae bacterium. RNAcentral describes it as "contains 16S-23S intergenic spacer region". It matches the Rfam family "Bacterial small subunit ribosomal RNA", at positions 524 to 776 of the family's 1533-position model. Lineage: Bacteria; Pseudomonadati; Bacteroidota; Bacteroidia; Bacteroidales; Bacteroidaceae. RNAcentral also lists the same sequence under 1 other name. The record is from RNAcentral.
UACGGAGGAUGCGAGCGUUAUCCGGAUUUAUUGGGUUUAAAGGGAGCGUAGACGGGAUGUUAAGUCAGUUGUGAAAGGCUGCGGCUCAACCGCAGCACUGCAGUUGAUACUGGCGUCCUUGAGUGCGGUUGAGGUAUGUGGAAUUCGUGGUGUAGCGGUGAAAUGCUUAGAUAUCACGAAGAACUCCGAUUGCGAAGGCAGCAUACUAAGCCGCUACUGACGUUGAGGCUCGAAAGUGUGGGUAUCAAACAGG